UACAGAGGGGGCAAGCGUUAUUCGGAAUUAUUGGGCGUAAAGGGCGCGUAGGCGGCUUGGCAAGUGGAUGGUGAAAUCCCUCGGCUUAACCGAGGAACUGCCGUCCAAACUGCUUUGCUUGAGACCGGGAGAGGUGAGUGGAAUUCCCAGUGUAGCGGUGAAAUGCGUAGAUAUUGGGAGGAACACCAGUGGCGAAGGCGGCUCACUGGACCGGUACUGACGCUGAGGUGCGAAAGCGUGGGGAGCAAACAGG
This 253-nucleotide ribosomal RNA is filed under the name uncultured bacterium. RNAcentral describes it as "partial 16S ribosomal RNA". It matches the Rfam family "Bacterial small subunit ribosomal RNA", at positions 524 to 776 of the family's 1533-position model. The record is from RNAcentral.